Molecule: long non-coding RNA, 257 nt
Filed under: Pan troglodytes (chimpanzee)
Lineage: Eukaryota; Metazoa; Chordata; Mammalia; Primates; Hominidae
Description: long non-coding RNA NONPTRT014558
Source: RNAcentral
AAGUGAUUCUCCUGCCUCCGCCACGCGAUGCCUCUUCAUGGGUGGUGGAUGAAGAAACUGAACAGGGCCAUGAUCCUUAUCUGUAAUUUCCCGGCUACCACACUGCUUUGGUGGUCUUCCCUUGUCUCUUCCUGGGUAGAAACAGAACUACCUGGAGAUCCCAAUGUUCUUGUCAGUGCACUUUUCAUGGACUGCAGUGGUAAGACGAUGUGUUGGAUGCCCAAACACAAACCAACCUACUUCAUACUGGGUGGAAU